RNAcentral lists this non-coding RNA (29 nucleotides) under Mus musculus (house mouse). Lineage: Eukaryota; Metazoa; Chordata; Mammalia; Rodentia; Muridae. The record is from RNAcentral.
UUAUAAAUACACUCUCCUGUCUGCAUUGA